UGGGGAAUAUUGGACAAUGGGCGAAAGCCUGAUCCAGCCAUGCCACGUGUGUGGAGAAGGUCUUCGGAUUGUAAAGCACUUUAAGUUGGGAGGAAGGGCAGUUACCUAAUACGUAAUUGUUUUGACGUUACCGACAGAAUAAGCACCGGCUAACUCUGUGCCAGCAGCCGCGGUAAUACAGAGGGUGCAAGCGUUAAUCGGAAUUACUGGGCGUAAAGCGCGCGUAGGUGGUUAGUUAAGUUGGAUGUGAAAUCCCCGGGCUCAACCUGGGAACUGCAUUCAAAAAUGACUGACUAGAGUAUAGUAGAGGGUAGUGUAAUUUCCUGUGUAGCGAUGAAAUGAGUAGAUAAAGGAAGGAAAACCAGAGGCGAAGGCGACCACCUAGACUGAUACUGACACUGAGGUACGAAAGCGUGGGGAGCAAACA
RNAcentral lists this ribosomal RNA (427 nucleotides) under uncultured bacterium. RNAcentral's name for it is "bacterial SSU rRNA". It matches the Rfam family "Bacterial small subunit ribosomal RNA", at positions 355 to 774 of the family's 1533-position model. The record is from RNAcentral.